Molecule: ribosomal RNA, 397 nt
Filed under: uncultured bacterium
Lineage: Bacteria
Description: partial 16S ribosomal RNA
Rfam family: Bacterial small subunit ribosomal RNA
Source: RNAcentral
AUACGUAGGGGGCGAGCGUUGUCCGGAAUGACUGGGCGUAAAGGGCGUGUAGGCGGCUGUCUAAGUCUGGAGUGAAAGUCCUGCUUUCAAGGUGGGAAUUGCUUUGGAGACUGGAUGGCUUGAGUGCGGAAGAGGUAAGUGGAAUACCCAGUGUAGCGGUGAAAUGCGUAGAGAUUGGGAGGAACACCAGUGGCGAAGGCGACUUACUGGGCCGUAACUGACGCUGAGGCGCGAAAGCGUGGGGAGCGAACAGGAUUAGAUACCCUGGUAGUCCACGCGGUAAACGAUGAAUGCCAGGUGUUGCGGGUAUCGACCCCUGCAGUGCCGGAGUAAACACAAUAAGUACCCCGCCUGGGGAGUACGGUCGCAAGACUAAAACUCAAAUGAAUUGACGGGG